Molecule: transfer RNA, 77 nt
Filed under: Vitreoscilla sp.
Lineage: Bacteria; Pseudomonadati; Pseudomonadota; Betaproteobacteria; Neisseriales; Neisseriaceae
Also listed under: 979 other names
Description: tRNA-Arg
Rfam family: tRNA
About the family: Transfer RNA (tRNA) molecules are approximately 80 nucleotides in length.
Source: RNAcentral
GCGGCUGUAGCUCAGCUGGAUAGAGUACUUGGCUACGAACCAAGGGGUCGUGGGUUCGAUUCCUGCCAGCCGCACCA